This 1263-nucleotide small RNA is filed under the name Pongo abelii (Sumatran orangutan). RNAcentral describes it as "processed transcript". The record is from RNAcentral. Lineage: Eukaryota; Metazoa; Chordata; Mammalia; Primates; Hominidae.
AGAGGGGGACUACAACGUCAUGGUGAUGGAGCUGCUGGGGCCAAGCCUGGAGGACCUCUUCAACUUCUGCUCCAGGAAAUUCAGCCUCAAAACCGUCCUGCUGCUUGCUGACCAAAUGAUCAGUCGCAUCGAAUACAUUCAUUCAAAGAACUUCAUCCACCGGGAUGUGAAGCCAGACAACUUCCUCAUGGGCCUGGGGAAGAAGGGCAACCUGGUGUACAUCAUCGACUUCGGGCUGGCCAAGAAGUACCGGGACGCACGCACCCACCAGCACAUCCCCUAUCGUGAGAACAAGAACCUCACGGGGACGGCGCGGUACGCCUCCAUCAACACGCACCUUGGAAUUGAACAAUCCCGAAGAGAUGACUUGGAGUCUCUGGGCUACGUGCUAAUGUACUUCAACCUGGGCUCUCUCCCCUGGCAGGGGCUGAAGGCCGCCACCAAGAGACAGAAAUAUGAAAGGAUUAGCGAGAAGAAAAUGUCCACCCCCAUCGAAGUGCUGUGUAAAGGCUACCCUUCUGAAUUUGCCACAUACCUGAAUUUCUGCCGUUCCUUGCGUUUUGACGACAAGCCUGACUACUCGUACCUGAGGCAGCUUUUCCGGAAUCUGUUCCAUCGCCAGGGCUUCUCUUAUGACUACGUGUUCGACUGGAACAUGCUCAAAUUUGCUGCUGUCUCGGCUUAAAAUCUGCCCUCCCCACCCCCAUGCAUCUGGAUAGUGCAGCACAGACCCGGCUGCUGGCCGCGCCACCACACCUGCACAGGCUGUUGGAGGCCGCAGGGUCUGGACCCUGAGUGGACUCCUCGUCCGACGAAACGCUCUCAUCCCCACCCCGCUUUCCUCCCCAGCUGUCACCAUUUGGGACCUGUCUUUGGCCUCCAAUGGUUCCUGUCCCUCUCCUCUCCCUGCACGUGUCAGUGAGCAUGUUCACAGAUGAGCAGGGGGCCAGCUGCUGCCCAUUUUGAAGUUUAAGGAAGUUCUGAGCCCACAGGGAGAUGCCAUGGCGAGUGGGGUUUUUUCUAUUGUUGGGGGAGCUGAGAGGCCUGGCUCUGACCCCUUGUGGGGAUGACGCUGGCAUCCCAUGGGGAGAAACAUGCAGCGUGUGGGGGGUUUCGCAGGCAGUCUCGUCCCAGUGCCCUUUGGUAGGUAUUUUCUCACGUGGCCGGGGCAGCCUAGGACCUAGGGUUGCUUUCUGCCAAAGCUGGUUUCAUUCCGGCCUCACCUCCUGCCUCCUCAGGGUGCCAGCCGGGCCGCUGACGAUG